GUCGAGGGGUAUAGUUCUUCGGAGCUAGAGACCGGCGCACGGGUGCGUAACGCGUAUGCAAUCUACCUUUCACAGAGGGAUAGCCCAGAGAAAUUUGGAUUAAUACCUCAUAGUAUAGCAGUUUCGCAUGAAACCACUAUUAAAGUCACAACGGUGAAAGAUGAGCAUGCGUCCCAUUAGCUAGUUGGUAAGGUAACGGCUUACCAAGGCUACGAUGGGUAGGGGUCCUGAGAGGGAGAUCCCCCACACUGGUACUGAGACACGGACCAGACUCCUACGGGAGGCAGCAGUGAGGAAUAUUGGUCAAUGGGCGCAAGCCUGAACCAGCCAUGCCGCGUGCAGGAUGACGGUCCUAUGGAUUGUAAACUGCUUUUGCACAGGAAGAAACAACGCUACGUGUAGCGUCUUGACGGUACUGUGAGAAUAAGGAUCGGCUAACUCCGUGCCAGCAGCCGCGGUAAUACGGAGGAUCCAAGCGUUAUCCGGAAUCAUUGGGUUUAAAGGGUCCGUAGGCGGUUUAGUAAGUCAGUGGUGAAAGCCCAUCGCUCAACGGUGGAACGGCCAUUGAUACUGCUAGACUUGAAUUAUAAGGAAGUAACUAGAAUAUGUAGUGUAGCGGUGAAAUGCUUAGAGAUUACAUGGAAUACCAAUUGCGAAGGCAGGUUACUACUUAUGGAUUGACGCUGAUGGACGAAAGCGUGGGUAGCGAACAGGAUUAGAUACCCUGGUAGUCCACGCCGUAAACGAUGGAUACUAGCUGUUGGGAGCAAUUUCAGUGGCUAAGCGAAAGUGAUAAGUAUCCCACCUGGGGAGUACGU
RNAcentral lists this ribosomal RNA (818 nucleotides) under uncultured Bacteroidota bacterium. RNAcentral's name for it is "bacterial SSU rRNA". It matches the Rfam family "Bacterial small subunit ribosomal RNA", at positions 61 to 885 of the family's 1533-position model. The record is from RNAcentral. Lineage: Bacteria; Pseudomonadati; Bacteroidota.